UAGAGCCCCUGGACUGAUUUAGUGCAGAUGUCGCAAUAAUGUUCUGGUCCUUUGAAGACUAGCUGGAGCUCGUGCUGUGGAUGCAUAUAGUUGUGGAGGGUAGGAGGACACGAGGCACAGUGGUCGUGAAGAUGGUAGUCACACUUGGCGCAGUAGUACGUCUUUCCAGAGUCGAGAAGGUUGUAGCGGACCCAGCCAAAAGUUUUACCCAGUGCAAAAAAAUACACUUGUGGGGAAUUGAACCCUCAACCUCAUGGUUAUAGGGUAUAUCUUAUAACCACUGAACCAAUUGCAUCAAUGUAUAUAAUGCAAAAUCACAACAAUUUAUAUAUUACCCGGUGCAACUGCACCCCUUUCCACCAACGUGGGUCCACCCCUGGUUGCAGCCAUUGCAUUUGAAGGGACCAGAGGUAACCAACUUUAAUGGGUGGAUAUGGUUGAAGUGUUGUAGUACUUCUUGUUCUGGCUUCGACGAAGACAUUUCGUUCUUUCUUUUUUCCUUGAUAAUUGUUAAGAUUUGCGAGAGUGAGUGGUGGUUUUAUAGGCAACAAUUAUCAAGGAAGAAAAAAAAACAACCGGUUAAUAUGGUCCAUACGGACACAAUCCCAUGCAAAAUUCUAGUAGGCCAAAAUUCUUGUGGUUGACUUGAAAAAUCAACGGUUAUCCAGUCCUGUUUCAGCUCACUGCCUCACCAAUUAGAAAACUAUCUCGAACCGAACUAGCUAGAUAACCAUUGAUUGGUAGUACGUGCCUUCCAAUAUAUUUUUCACAUCGAUAACUUCAGGAAAUGUUAAAAACUCUCUGUAUUUGGUUGGCUCUUUUUAGACGACUCUGACUCUGUGGCUUAUUAGACGACUGACUUUGUGAAAAGCACAAAUAUUGUAGUGUAGCCAAAAGCCAAAUUAAAAUUUUAAAUUAGGGCUAAUUACUCAAAUACUCCUUGGAAACGUGACAGCUUAUGCUGAUGUCAUUCUUCUACUACGAGAUUCUAGUUUAAAAUCACAUUCAUGCAGUAGCAUACUUAAUUCAUAAUGAUUCUAAAUUUAGUUAAUAUUUUCGGAUUUAUUAAAUCAUACAAGAUAUAAAUACCUCUAUGUUUUAUCUCAAAUAAAUUCAACUGGUCACUGUUAAAUUUAUCGGUUAAGCUGUGUUGGGUUCAUGAAAAGUGUCGUUCUUUAGUUCAGUUUGAUACUUGUGUGAGGCAGCUUUGAUUUUUAUGGGACUUGAAGAAAAAAAAGUUAUGUUCUUGCUUAUGCCUUAUGUAUCACAAUGGGUUCCCUAACAAUGUUCAUCUUUGGUUUGCCUAACGUACGUAUUUAGCAUGCGGUUAAGACCUUGUUAGUCCGGAUGUCUGUUUCUGUACUGACGAGUAGUAGUUUAGGAGUAGAUUUUGUAAACUCGUUUUCCCUACAUCAUGCAAAUGUUAUUUUUUAUUUAUAAACUUGUAAAUAUCAUUAAAGAAUGAAAUGUUCAGGGCUUCAGGCUUUACAAAAAAAUUAGACCUAUACUUUACUACCUUGCAAAAAAAAAAAAAAAAAAAAAAAACAAAGUGGCACAAAACACAUGAGAAAAAGAGGAAAUCUCAUUAUUACCAAAGUUGCAUUAGAUUUGCAAAUGUUAUUUUUAAAAUGAUAUAUGCAUAGUUCGGAGGAAGUAACCGACUUUUAAGUUUAGAAUCCUGAUCCGAUAUUAUAAAUUCAAGGUCAGCCAGAUGGAUUUUUUUUUUUUAGUUUGGUCUUAGGUUUUUCUUCUUCAUUCACAGAUUUUAAAAUUCCAAUUGAAUUUCUUUUGUCUAUAUGUAUCUUGUUGAAUCUAAACUCAAGAAAACAAAAAGUUUCGUCGAAGGUUUGAAAUAUAUUUUUAUAUGGAAAAUUAGACUUGGUUAAAACAUAAAUAUUUCAAAGAAUUUACAUCAGGAAUAUUCAAAAAUCAAAUUUAUUUUGGAACAUAAACAAGAUAUGCGUAUCAAAAUUAUGUGGAUAUGUCAAACAAGGUGUUCUUAACUUCCUAAGGCUAACAACAAAUUAAUAGGCCACAUGGACGUACGAGAGAGUAAGAAGAGUCUUUGCCAUGUGGACCGGACAUGGUGAUCAAGUGGCGAAUUAUAAAAAAUAAACAAAAUUUUUUUAAAAAAAUGGAAAUAGUGGAAAUGGUCGAAGACUAUUAAGAGUUGGAGACAUCGAAAGAACCCGACAAGUCAUAUCCUAGAUAUAAGAACCAACUAGGCAAUUACUAUAAACUAGCGUAUGGUGAAUGGUGAUUGGGUGGUCCAGGACAUAAGUUCCCAAAAAUUAUGGGUAUUGAUUCAACUUCAGAUGGUCACUAGACUUUUAAACUUUCAUUCUAAUUGUUUAUCUGCUGAAGUGUGGUUUGUGGAAAAAAUUGUAAAAAAGUCUAUUCAUAUAUGGAUUAGUCGGAUUUUACUUGGACACUAACGCUAAUGCUAAUGAAAAAAAAAAAGAAACAUAUUAGGCUAUAUAUAUAUAUAUAUAUGUAGGACUCCAAGAGAGUUAUAAGAGCAAGAUGAAUUUUUGGCAUUUAUCACUGAAAUAAAGAAAAUGGAAGAUAGUGGAGAGGUCCAAAGCAUCGUAUGGUUAUCUGGACUUGAGGAUUUUUGGGUACAAACCUACGUCCCACAUCAGAAGUAUAGAAAAACAAGUUUCUAAUAUAUAAGUAAAGUCCAACUCCAAUUAGUAUGAGGUAUUUUGGGAAGAAGCCCAAUAACAAAUCCGUGUGGACUUGAGCAUUUAGAUCCAAAGCGGACAAUAUCAUACUAUGGGGAGUUGGAUUGGGUUUGGAAAGCCCAAUAAAUGGUAUCAGAGCCUAGGUUGAAAGAUAUAGACUUAGGGGUGUGGACUAGAAUGCGGUGUGGGGAAGCCCUCAAAUGUGACACGAUAAGAAGGUGCCUCAAGAACUUCGCGAAUAAGAAAGUGCCGAGUUAGGGUGCCUAGGUUUCGCUGAAGAGGAGGCCCAAUGUUCGUGGUCCUUGGUUUGAAGGGGAGUUUGUUGGGUACAAACCAACAUCCCACAUCGGAAGUUUAGAAAAAGAAGUUUCUAAUAUAUAAAUAAAGUCCAACUCCAAUUAGUAUGAAGCCUUUUGGGAAGAAGCCCGAUAACAAAUCAGUGUGGACUUGAGCAUUUAGACUUAAAGCGGACAAUAUCAUACUAUGGGGGGUUGAAUUGGGUUUGGAAAGCCUAAUAAGGAUUAUCUGGGAAGAUCCCGACAAGUUGUAGGAUAAUUAUUAGGCCACGCGUACGAUGUCAGAAGAGUAAGAAAAGUCUUUGACAUGUGGACCUAAAAUAUGAUCAAAUGGCAAUUAAUUGAAAGAAAGAUACGGAAUGGUUGAAAUGGUCUAAAACAUCAAAUGGUUAAAUGGUUUGGAGACAUCAAAGGAAAUUGACGAGUCACACUAAACCAGCUCAACCUUCAACCGGAAACUACAAAAGGUCAAUCGACGAAUACAGUAAGCACUAGAUGAUCUAGUCUAGAUCUCCUACAACUCAACGAGAUAUCAACUCAAUUUUAAGGGUAUUAAUUUGAUAUAUAUUACCGACAACAUUUGAUCCUAAUUAUCUAAUCAAAGAACAUUUAGUUUUUAAGUUGUAUUAUUUUUCAUACUUAACGUUGGAGAAGGUUGCAAGCCACGGGCAGUCGUGGUAUCGAACGGAGGCUAGCCUGUUUCGUAUUUUCUAUCUAUUGAUCGAAUGAGGUGAGCCGUCGGUUGUGUCUCCUCACUUACAAAAAAAUUGGAAUAUCGUUUAUGCUCUGAUUACCAUGUAGUGAGCAGGGCCGGCGUAUGGGGAGUGUUUGAAGAGCAAAUGUACAGGGCCAAAUUUUUUUGAAGUAAAUUUAAGAGUCCAAAUUUAUUUUUUAGUAAAAAAAAGGGGUAAUUUUUAAGAUUUUAAGAUAUUUUUAGUAUGAAAAAAGCCUACAUAUUUUCUUUAGUAUGAAAAGGCCAAUUUUAAAGGUUUUUUAACAUGAAAAAUGCCCAUUUGUUUUUUUUGUAUGAAGAAAAGACCCAUUUUUAAAAUUUGUACAUGGACUCCAAAUUAAUUGAGCUGGAGUGAUUCUUUCUUAUUAUUUCCAAUAAAGUGUACAAAGACAUUAUAUAGCAAUUACAGCUGAAGAUUCUAGAGAAUGAUAAUUACAAGGUUUCUAUAACUGAAUCAAUAUCAAAUAUUAUAAUCAUAAAGGGGGAUCUUUGACAACAUGCAAUAAACUUUUUUUUUGUUUUUUGUGUGUGUAAAUUCACAGUAAAUUUAUUGAAUAGAAAGUAGGAAACAGACGUGCCAGACCAGGGCCGGCGCAGAGGGCAAGCCACCGAAGCCACCGAUUAGGGCCUCAAAAUUUGAGGGCCUUUUUACCUAAAAAUUUGUUAAGUUUUCUUAUAUACAAUAAUUUUUGUAGGGCCUUUUAAAAAUAUUGUGGACUUUUAGAGACAACUAUAACAUUCUUUUUAAUAGUAAAAAUCUAAUUUAAAAUAAUUUUUUUUAUGGACUUUAAUUUUGAUUAGGGCACCCAAAUUUACCGGGCCGACACUGUGCCAGACCUUAAUGGCAUAAAUUUACUGACGUGCCAUUUCAAAACAUCUGUUUAAGGAUGUCGGAAAUUGGCGAAGCGAUGAUAUUGCUAACAACCCCAAGCCCUACGUUCUUCAAGAAGCGAGCCGCUCUUUCUCUUUUAGAGUGACGCGGCUCUAGACCCUCAGUCAGCAGUGCGCAGACUGCAUGGGCAUCGAAAUCGCAAGCGUUACAACGGUAAUAGAGCCCCUGGACUGAUUUAGUGCAGAUGUCGCAAUAAUGUUCUGGUCCUUUGAAGACUAGCUGGAGCUCGUGCUGUGGAUGCAUAUAGUUGUGGAGGGUAGGAGGACACGAGGCACAGUGGUCGUGAAGAUGGUAGUCACACUUGGCGCAGUAGUACGUCUUUCCAGAGUCGAGAAGGUUGUAGCGGACCCAGCCAAAAGUUUUACCCAGUGCAAAAAAAUACACUUGUGGGGAAUUGAACCCUCAACCUCAUGGUUAUAGGGUAUAUCUUAUAACCACUGAACCAAUUGCAUCAAUGUAUAUAAUGCAAAAUCACAACAAUUUAUAUAUUACCCGGUGCAACUGCACCCCUUUCCACCAACGUGGGUCCACCCCUGGUUGCAGCCAUUGCAUUUGAAGGGACCAGAGGUAACCAACUUUAAUGGGUGGAUAUGGUUGAAGUGUUGUAGUACUUCUUGUUCUGGCUUCGACGAAGACAUUUCGUUCUUUCUUUUUUCCUUGAUAAUUGUUAAGAUUUGCGAGAGUGAGUGGUGGUUUUAUAGGCAACAAUUAUCAAGGAAGAAAAAAAAACAACCGGUUAAUAUGGUCCAUACGGACACAAUCCCAUGCAAAAUUCUAGUAGGCCAAAAUUCUUGUGGUUGACUUGAAAAAUCAACG
Molecule: long non-coding RNA, 5421 nt
Filed under: Arabidopsis lyrata
Lineage: Eukaryota; Viridiplantae; Streptophyta; Magnoliopsida; Brassicales; Brassicaceae
Description: long non-coding RNA (ALYR_LNC002130)
Source: RNAcentral